Molecule: long non-coding RNA, 1699 nt
Filed under: Chloebia gouldiae (Gouldian finch)
Lineage: Eukaryota; Metazoa; Chordata; Aves; Passeriformes; Passeridae
Description: Erythrura gouldiae (Gouldian finch) lncRNA (ENSEGOG00005004935.1)
Source: RNAcentral
UGCGUUUGGAACUCCCCCUGCUGCCGGCUCUUUCCUUUUAGUAACAAAAUGGCACAGGUUUGUGGCAGGGGCAAACACAUAAAGCCCCCUGGGGACAAAUUCUCUACUCCUCCCUUAGCCCUCAGCUGCAGCACAACGGAGGCGAUAAUGGGCCGCUUAAGCAGGUCCCAGGUACUGGGAAUCUCACCUUCCAGGUACCUCCCCCGCAGAUCCGUGGGCAGGGGGCGGAGGAGGCAGGAUGGGGGACAGCGCACGGACCCUCAGGCACACGCUCGGAUUGAGCCGCAGAAGGACACGUAAAGGGGGCGUUCCAAUUUGGAUAGGAAGGCCAGGGUAUAAAAGGGCAGCACGGUAGCACCAUCGAGGUGUUGCUGUUUCGUGCUUCUCGCUGUGUGGCUGCAGUUUGGUCGGUGAUGCAGAGAACAGCUGAGCUGCCUGCUGCCCCUUCACCCUUCUGGUCGCUGCUGGCGCUGCUGCGGCGGGAGCCCGGCAUGGAGUGGCUGCCGUGUGGUCCGGAUGGCUGCACCGGAUCGUGUGGUACCAGCGGACUGGAGGCUGGCAGCGGGGAAGGAGCUGCAGAUAAUCUCAGCCAGGUUCCUAAGAAGCAUUCCUUGGGCCCUUGUCCCCUGAAGGCUCUGCUGUUACUGGAGGACUCAAGAGAGAGACACUUAUGGCAAGCCUACCAUGAAGGCCUGAAAAACUUUCUUUCCUUUAGAGAAGGCAUGGCUCUGUCUGUUAUCUGGCCAAUUCCAGUUGAACAAAUAAGAAUGUUUCUGGUCGACAUGGAGUCCCAGGACCUGCCUCCCAUGAAAAUAAUAAUGUAUAUGGAAGGACUGUCCUUCAUCUCCAGAAUGGUAGAUCAUCCUGAUCCCCUUCCAGAUCCUCUUGUCUGUCACAUGAUGUCAAGGCUGAAACAGAGGACUAGCCGUUCAGAUGAUGAAUACUCUCCUGUAACAAUUGAAGUGUUAAGAUCUCUCCUGGGAACUCUGGAGUCUGUGUGUAGCUCUCCUUAUGAGUGUAUGCUGUUCCGUGCCAUUUUUACUGUAGCUUUUUUUGGUGUACUCCAUAUAGAAGAGAUGGUGGCAAAUCACCAAAAUACAACACAGCCAGACCUCCUGUACUUGAGUGACCUCCAGCUGACAGAAGGACAUGCAACCCUUUUUCUGCAUCCAUCUCAAGCGGGCCAACAGAGGUGUUCGAUCCAACUGAGACGAUGUAAAGAGAUGUGGGUGUGUCCUGUUGAAGCUCUCUGUAUCUACGUGGCAGCACGGCCACAAGGAGAUGGUCCUCUCUUUGUGCACUCAAAUAGUAUGGCUGUGACAAAGAGGGAGUUCCUCACUGUCUUCCGCUGUGGUCUUAGGUUUGCUGGACUUCCUCCACACCAGUAUGCAGUGCAUUCCUUCUGGCUGGGGAACUCUAACAGGAGAAUCUCGUGGAGAUUCUAUUAAUCUCAUGUGAUUAAUAGAAUGGUAAGGUGAUGGUGAAGAUUCUGUGAAAGACAUACUUCUGUCUAUCUGUUGAACUUUCAUAGUAGAAGGUAUCUUCUGCAAUGCACAAAUUUUAUACUUUAUACAGGCUAAAUUUUUAGUGCUCUGAAAAUCUGAAUCUAGAGAGAAGGGGAGGAAAAAGUGGAAGGUGACAUCGCACCUGUGGUGGUUUUGAAAAUGAAGGGUCAUGGGUUUAAAACUGGGACUUGUGG